UGGGGAAUAUUGGACAAUGGGCGAAAGCCUGAUCCAGCCAUGCCGCGUGUGUGAAGAAGGUCUUCGGAUUGUAAAGCACUUUAAGUUGGGAGGAAGGGCAUUAACCUAAUACGUUAGUGUUUUGACGUUACCGACAGAAUAAGCACCGGCUAACUCUGUGCCAGCAGCCGCGGUAAUACAGAGGGUGCAAGCGUUAAUCGGAAUUACUGGGCGUAAAGCGCGCGUAGGUGGUUUGUUAAGUUGGAUGUGAAAUCCCCGGGCUCAACCUGGGAACUGCAUUCAAAACUGACUGACUAGAGUAUGGUAGAGGGUGGUGGAAUUUCCUGUGUAGCGGUGAAAUGCGUAGAUAUAGGAAGGAACACCAGUGGCGAAGGCGACCAACUGGACUAAUACUGACACUGAGGUGCGAAAGCGUGGGGAGCAAACA
Molecule: ribosomal RNA, 427 nt
Filed under: uncultured bacterium
Lineage: Bacteria
Description: partial 16S ribosomal RNA
Rfam family: Bacterial small subunit ribosomal RNA
Source: RNAcentral